This 2147-nucleotide ribosomal RNA is filed under the name wallaby gut metagenome. RNAcentral describes it as "bacterial LSU rRNA". It matches the Rfam family "Bacterial large subunit ribosomal RNA", at positions 1 to 2147 of the family's 2925-position model. The record is from RNAcentral.
UUAAAUUAUUAAGGGCGCACGGCGAAUGCCUUGGCACUAGAAGCCGAAGAAGGACGUGACAAACAACGAUAUGCUUCGGGGAGCUGUAAGUAAACUUUGAUCCAGAGAUUUCCGAAUGGGGAAACACACCAGGAGUAAUUGACAAGUUAUCCAAAAAUGAAUACAUAGUAUGACAGAAAGCAACCCGGUGAACUGAAACAUCUUAGUAACCGGAGGAAAAGAAAGAAAAAUCGAUUCCCUAAGUAGUGGCGAGCGAAAAGGGAAUAGCCCAAACCAGUCUUAGGACUGGGGUUGUAGGACCAUGAACAUGAAGUUACAAAUCUUUAUUAUAGUCGAAUAAUUUGGAAAAAUUAAUCAUAGAAGGUAACAAUCCUGUAGGCGAAAUAAUAAAGACUUCUCAUGGUAUCCUGAGUACGGCGGAACACGUGUAAUUCCGUCGGAAUCUGCGGGGACCAUCCCGUAAGGCUAAAUACUCUCUAGUGACCGAUAGUGAACAAGUACCGUGAGGGAAAGUUGAAAAGAACCCCGGGAGGGGAGUGAAAUAGAUAGUGAAACCGUAUGCUUACAAAAAGUCAGAGCCCGUUAAUGGGUGAUGGCGUGCCUUUUGCAGAAUGAACCGGCGAGUUAUUGUAUCAUGCAAGGUUAAGUUGAAAAGACGGAGCCGAAGCGAAAGCAAGUCUUAAUAGGGCGAAUUAGUAUGUAGUAUUAGACCCGAAACCGAGUGAUCUAGCCAUGAGCAGGUUGAAGGUACCGUAACAGGUACUGGAGGACCGAACCGACGUACCCGGAAACGUGCGCGGAUGACUUGUGGCUAGCGGUGAAAUUCCAAACGAACUCGGAUAUAGCUGGUUCUCCCCGAAAUAGGUUUAGGCCUAGCCUUGAGAUUAAGCGCCACGGAGGUAGAGCACUGAAUAUACAAUGGCCCCAUCUAGGGGUACUGAGUGUAAUCAAACUCCGAAUGCCGUGGUUGUAUGCUCAGGAGUCAGCGUGUGGGUGAUAACGUCCAUACGCGAAAGGAAAAGAGUCCAAGAUCGCCGAUUAAGGUCCCAAAAUUUGUGCUAAGUGGGAAAGGAUGUAGAGUUGUCAAAACAGCUAGGAGGUUGGCUCAGAAGCAGCCAUCCUUUAAAGAGUGCGUAAUAGCUCACUAGUCGAGUGACACUGCGCCGAAGAUGUACCGGGGCUAAGCACAAUACCGAAAUCGCGGAUUCAUAGUUUACUAUGAGUGGUAGGGGAGCGUUCCAAGGGCGUUGAAGGUUGACCGUGAGGACAGCUGGAGCGCUUGGAAGUGAGAAUGCCGGUGUGAGUAGCGCAAGAUGGGUGAGAAUCCCAUCCACCGUUUGACUAAGGGUUCCUGGGGCAGGUUCGUCCUCCCAGGGUUAGUCGGGUCCUAAGACGAGGCCGAAAGGCGUAGUCGAUGGACAACAGGUUGAUAUUCCUGUACUACCUAUAUAACUGAUGGAGUGACGGAGAAGGAUAGCAAGAGCCUAUUAAUGGAUUUAGGUUUAAGCGCAAAGGUUAGUGAGUAGGCAAAUCCGCUACACUGUAAGACUGAAACGUGAUGACGAUGAUUCCUUCGGGGAUUAAAGUCUUGUGACUCCAAGCUUCCAAGAAAAACUUCUAAAGAUAUGACAUAGGUACCUGUACCGCAAACCACCACAGGUGGUCAAGGAGAGAAUCCUAAGGUGAGCGAGAGAACUAUGGUUAAGGAACUCGGCAAAAUGGCCCCGUAACUUAGGGAUAAGGGGAGGUCUCUUCGGAGACCCGCAGUGAAUAGUCCCAGGCAACUGUUUACCAAAAACACAGGUUUCUGCAAAAGCGCAAGCUGAAGUAUAGGAGCUGACGCCUGCCCAGUGCUGGAAGGUUAAGAUGAUUUGUUAGGUGGACGAAAGUCGAUAACACCGAAGCAAUGACUUGAAGCCCCAGUGAACGGCGGCCGUAACUAUAACGGUCCUAAGGUAGCGAAAUUCCUUGUCAGGUAAGUUCUGACCCGCACGAAAGGCGUAAUGAUCUGGGAGCUGUCUCAACCAUAGACUCGGUGAAAUCUUAAUACCUGUGAAAAUGCAGGUUACCCGCAGCAGGACGAAAAGACCCCAUGGAGCUUUACUGUAGGUUGAUAUUGGGAUCAGGUAGUAGUUGUAGAGGAUAGG